UACGGAGGGUGCAAACGUUGCUCGGAAUUAUUGGGCGUAAAGCGCACGUAGGCGGCUCCUCAAGUCGGAUGUGAAAGCCCUGGGCUCAACUCAGGAAGUGCAUCCGAAACUGUGGAGCUUGAAUGCCGGAGGGGCACAGAGAAUUCCCGGUGUAGAGGUGAAAUUCGUAGAUAUCGGGAGGAAUACCAGUGGCGAAGGCGCUGGGCUGGACGGUCAUUGACGCUGAGGUGCGAAAGCGUGGGGAGCAAACAGG
This 253-nucleotide ribosomal RNA is filed under the name uncultured bacterium. RNAcentral's name for it is "partial 16S ribosomal RNA". It matches the Rfam family "Bacterial small subunit ribosomal RNA", at positions 524 to 776 of the family's 1533-position model. The record is from RNAcentral.